AUAUUACUUUUUUUUUUUAGUAGCUUAUUAACAACAUACGUUUAUUAUCUCCACAGGUCAGGAGUCUGGACAGAGUUUCGCUAGGUGUUCUGUAAUCAAGGUAUCUGCUGAGCUGUGAUCUUUUCGGGAACUUGGGCUCUUCUUUCAGGCUCAUGUGAUUGUUGACAAAGUUGAGUCUUUGUGGUUGUAGGACUAAGAUUCCUGUUUUCUUGCAGGCUGUCGUCUGGGAGCAUUCUGAGCUCUUAGAGGCCACCUGCAGUUCCUUGAUAUGUGGCCUUUUCACAGACAGACCCACAACAUGACAGGUGACUACUGUAGGUCACCAAGAGAAUUUCUCUGGGUUUCACUUUUAUAACUGGAGAAGAAAUUCAAUUAAUUAAAAAAAUUCUCUUUGUGACUGUGAAAUUUUGAUUUAUCUAAAAAUAUUUCUUAGAAGGAAGAGAACGAACUGAAAAAUAUAUUUCUACCAUUGUAUCUCAGAAAAGCCCAUUUGCAAGCACGUUUUGCCAUGGAAGAAUAAAUAGGAUCCAUGUUGCUUUCUCUGAAACACUCUUUUCCUUUCUAACACAUUCCAGCUUCCUGUGUGGAACAGGUGGUCAACUAAGCUUUUUUUGUAAAUGCUGAUUGAAAGAAACUCGGAGCACAUGCUGCCUUUUGAACUGCUUAACAUCACUGCCACUCUUCUACCCGCCAGGAAACUGAAUUUUAAAGCUGAUCAUCAUGGUUAUAAGGAGAAGAACAUAGAAGAGAACACUCUUUGCCUAAUUACAAUUUGUCUGCAGCUUGAUGCUAUGUUUGUGGGUGUUUGUAACAAUGGCUCCACACCUUCUGGGCUGCCAGCCCCGGUACACUCAGCUUCUUGUGCUAAAGCUCUUACUUAAGGUGUUCAAGGGAAGCAGUUACUUAAGAAACACAUGUACUGAUUUGAGAAAUCCAUGGAAAUGUGUUUUUUUAAGUCAAAAUAUAUUUUAUUCAAAUACUCAAGGUUAGUUAUUUUCAAAUAAGCAAAAUGGAAAAGAUAAUUACUACACUUCAUUAUGUAAAAAAAGCAAAAAAAAGAUAAGCUAAAAUGUAAGUUUUAGAGAUUGGAAUAUAUUUUGCAGAGGGAUAUGACUCAGCUGCUUAAUUGUUAAAUAGAAAAUUUGCAUUUAAGUUAAUUUUCCCAAAUCCGACAGGAAUCUUUAGAAGCUAUUUUGAAGUAAAUUUUAAAUUGAGUAAAUCUUAGAAACAAUCUCAUUAAACACAUUCAAGAAACUAUGGAAGGAGGCUCCUUUGGUAUGAAGCAGUACUUUGCUGAGUGAGGAAGCAUGGUGUUUUCUGAAAUAACGCAACGUUAUCUUGCUCUGUGAACAAACACAUCUUCAUGGUUGUGAGAGCCAUCUUUGAGCGGCAGAUGGCAAAUGCCCCAGAGUCAUAGUACAGAGAAAGGCUGCUACUUACACUCAAGGCUUGAGGUAAUGGAAUGAAAACCCUGUAGCAGGGUAAGGUAGCCGAGUGUUCUUUGUGACAUUGUUUUGUAACAUUGUUCAAUUACCAUCAUCAUCAUCACCAGUAGUAGCAAUAGCAGCGGUAGUAGUAACUGCAUUUCUUCAGCUAUAUGUGUAACCCUUCUUGUUCUCCCAGUACCUCUGUCAGGUCAAUGUUAGAAACCACAACUUACAGAUAAUGACUUUCUAGUAGGAGGCAGAGCAAGAUUUGGACCUAGGUAGACCUUCCUGACUGUGAAACUCUGAUGUGUGUUCUCUUUCUCCUCUAUCAUACUUCCCCCAUUAUAUAUAUAAUGGGGUAUAUGCUACUGUGUAUAUUAUAUACCCCAUAUUAUCUGUAUUAUUUAAAAAUUCUUUUAAAUAAAUAUCUUUUUUUUUUCUACUGCCUCAGCAAUCUGUAGAUCUGGACUGAGCCAGUUGAGUUUCUUCAGUGAUAGGGUUAGAGUUGGCCAUGUUUGAAGGAAAACUGAUCAGCUGUUCUCAGGGGCAGAGCAAGGAAGCUGG
Molecule: long non-coding RNA, 1991 nt
Filed under: Callithrix jacchus (white-tufted-ear marmoset)
Lineage: Eukaryota; Metazoa; Chordata; Mammalia; Primates; Cebidae
Description: lncRNA (ENSCJAG00000072030.1)
Source: RNAcentral